Long non-coding RNA from Salvelinus sp. IW2-2015, 557 nucleotides. RefSeq lists it as uncharacterized. Lineage: Eukaryota; Metazoa; Chordata; Actinopteri; Salmoniformes; Salmonidae. The record is from RefSeq and is a predicted model, not a curated record.
AGAGGGCACCGUAUCUCAAGACAUGACUGGAGAGAAAAACUGUUUGGAGAACUGUGUCUAGUCAAUGCACUUUACUGUUUAAUGUAUGCAACUUGCUACUAGGAGUUCAGAUUCGGUUAUAUUGUUGGAGACGGUGACAUUUUCUGCUGAAAACCACCAAGAUCAACGGACUAAAGACCCUAAAGAAACCAACUAUCCAAUAGGUGUGGACCAAAGACUCAAAAGAAAGGAAAACAAACACAAAACACAAAGGAGAGGAUGAAAGAGGUCUCCGGUGGAUGGCUGUCAAGUCACCGUCAUUCACCUACCUCGUCACCUGCGGCAGGUCCAUGAGUGGGGCAGAGAGGAGGCCCAGUCUGCAGUCAACACAUUCGGCCUCGGAGCACCAAGCAGACAUGGUGGCAGCAGCUGCAAGUCUAAAAACAACCAUCACUCCAGGCCUUGCUUCAUGACAGGCUGUCAUGAAGUGGUCAAAAGACUGCCAGCCCACCUGUAAAUUAUGUCUGACUGUUGAGGUGUGCAACUGGCUUUCCGUAUAAAAAAAUAUUUAAAAAACA